AGAGUUUGAUCAUAGCUCAGGAUAAACGCUGGCGGCGCACAUAAGACAUGCAAGUCGAACGAACUUAACCAUUAGUUUACUAUUGGAGCGGUUAGUGGCGGACUGGUGAGUAACACGUAAGCAACCUGCCUAUCAGAGGGGGAACAACAGUUAGAAAUGACUGCUAAUACCGCAUAUGCCUUUAGAAUCACAUGGUUCAAAAGGGAAAGGAAGCAAUCCACUGAUAGAUGGGCUUGCGU
Molecule: ribosomal RNA, 239 nt
Filed under: uncultured bacterium
Lineage: Bacteria
Description: partial 16S ribosomal RNA
Rfam family: Bacterial small subunit ribosomal RNA
Source: RNAcentral